CGGUCCUAGUGGCGAACGGUCGCGUAACACGUAAGCAACCUGCCCUGAAGUGGGGGACAACAUCCCGAAAGGGGUGCUAAUACCGCAUGUGGUCACGAGUCGGCAUCGGCUUGUGUCUAAAGAUUUAUCGCUUCAGGAUGGGCUUGCGGCCUAUCAGGUAGUUGGUGGGGUAAUGGCCUACGGAGCCGACGACGGGUAGCUGGUCUGAGAGGACGAUCAGCCGGAUUGGGACUGAGAUACAGACCAGACUCCUACGGG
This 258-nucleotide ribosomal RNA is filed under the name uncultured bacterium. RNAcentral describes it as "partial 16S ribosomal RNA". It matches the Rfam family "Bacterial small subunit ribosomal RNA", at positions 87 to 345 of the family's 1533-position model. The record is from RNAcentral.